This 435-nucleotide ribosomal RNA is filed under the name Rhizophagus intraradices. Its description in RNAcentral is "eukaryotic LSU rRNA". It matches the Rfam family "Eukaryotic large subunit ribosomal RNA", at positions 325 to 630 of the family's 3401-position model. The record is from RNAcentral. Lineage: Eukaryota; Fungi; Glomeromycota; Glomeromycetes; Glomerales; Glomeraceae.
GGCGAGAGACCGAUAGCGAACAAGUACCGUGAGGGAAAGAUGAAAAGAACUUUGAAAAGAGAGUUAAACAGUACGUGAAAUUGUUGAAAGGGAAACGAUUGAAGCCAGUCGUACCUUCGGGUAAUCAGCCUUUCGGGUGCGAUUCUGUGGAGUGUGAGGAGCUUAACACCUUCAUGCUUUGCAUAUUUGUGCUCUUGGGUGUACUUGCCCGUGUGGUUGGUUAACAUCAAUUUUGAUUAUCAUAAAAUGACUGGAGGAAUGUAGCUUCGAUCUCGUAUUGAAGUGUUAUAGGCUUCGGUAGAUGUGAUGAUCGAGAUUGAGGAUUGCAACGGAUACCCUUCGGGGCUACCUGUCUGGUCUCUGAUCGUUGCUCUGGUGCCGAAAGCGUGCUUACGGUUAUCAAAGUCGAUGGUCAAUAGGUUAGAACGGGUUAAA